This 253-nucleotide ribosomal RNA is filed under the name uncultured bacterium. RNAcentral's name for it is "partial 16S ribosomal RNA". It matches the Rfam family "Bacterial small subunit ribosomal RNA", at positions 524 to 776 of the family's 1533-position model. The record is from RNAcentral.
UACGUAGGGUGCGAGCGUUGUCCGGAAUUAUUGGGCGUAAAGGGCUCGUAGGCGGUUUGUCGCGUCGGGAGUGAAAUCCACUGGCUUAACUGGUGGCUUGCUUUCGAUACGGGCAGACUAGAGGUAUGCAGGGGAGAACGGAAUUCCUGGUGUAGCGGUGAAAUGCGCAGAUAUCAGGAGGAACACCGGUGGCGAAGGCGGUUCUCUGGGCAUGUCCUGACGCUGAGGAGCGAAAGUGUGGGGAGCGAACAGG